UAAUCAUUAUGGCAGUUUUUUUCGUUUUCUUCGAGUUUGAAAUUUAUUAUUUUUUCAGUAUAGUGAUAUGUAAGUCGCAAUUUCAGGCUGUUUCCAAGGAAUAUGAAGUGGAAGCCAUGCCAACCUUUGUGCUCAUAAAAGAAGGGCAAAUUCUGGACAGGGUUGAUGGUGCAAAGAAAGAUGAGUUGCAGAUCACCAUCAUCAAGCAUGCUGGUGCUUGGGUUGGAACGAGUUGUAAACUUGGAAGUAACUUUCAUUUAGCCAUGGAUUACACUAGUUUCCUAGUGGCGUAGGGAGUAAUGCGUUUCUGUGCUUGUGAGUGUGUGUCUGAAUCCUGUUCUAAUGUUGUUGUUUGUUGAUAAAGAUUUAUCUAUUAUUAAUAUUUUGUGUUUAUUAAUUUAUAUUUUGUUCCCACCUCUCCCUAGUAUAUGGAUACGUAACUUAUUUGGAUGAUUGAAUGGUUUAUUGAGCUGUGCACUAAACAGGGUUAGCAACAAAAAUAAUUUUUUUUAAAAAAAAUAGCCAUAUAAAAGCUACCGAAUGAAUUAUGGUCGCUUUUUAAAUUCCACCAAUUUUGUAAGGUGGGAAAUUCAAAAUAUGGCCAAAAAUUUGGAGUGGUUUAAAGGAAUUUAUUUUUAACAAAAGCGACCAGCAAAGCGGUAGCUUUUAUAUAUAAAAGCGACCAAAUCAGUAAAAGCGACCCCCUUCGAAGCGACCAACUCUUUUCGGUCGCUUUUACUUAAAAGCGACCAAAUACGGUCGCUUUUACUUAAAAGCGACCAAAUUUCGUUGGUAGCUUUUAAUUAUUUUUCUUGUAGUGGCUAAUUAUAAAGUCCAUAUAAAAGUCCGCGUACCGACCGACCAAACUUUUAAUAUUUCGGCUUUAAUAGUAUAGUAUAGAUAUGUUGGUCGAUAUAUUUUGCGAUUAUCCAAAGUAUACAAUUGUAUAGAAGACAUUUUGUACUUUUUCUGCUAGGCCAAGACAUGUCGAACUUUAUUAUUGAACAAACAGGGUAACAAAAUUAAUAGAAACUUGUUAUGUAGUUAAGGAUGGGUGUAAAUAAGGGAUUAGUCUAUAAUUUCAGAAUUUUGACUUUAAAGAAUAAAAUCAUUUUCUUUCUUGAUAUACUUGAAUAUUAAAAAUCCGAGAUGCGAUGAUUAUCACGGGACGAGCGAUACACAAGGAAAAUGAAAUGAUUUGCGGGAUUUAAUUUGUAAUGUAUAUUUCUUUUGUUUUGAAAUAAACAUACUUGUUUCAAUUGAUAAUAUCAGAAUCUAGUACACGAGGAAAUCAUGUGACUUAUCAUAUCACAUCUCCAAACUUGACAUAAAAUAUGCGACUUUUGCUAACACAUGCGCCAUACUAUUCGUAGAUUGAUAAUCAAAUUGAACUAGCAAUGGAUCUAUGUGCUUUAAUAAUUGGAUACAAUUUAUUAGUAUGCAUGAUACCAAAAAAUGCUUCGUCCAGAGUUCCAUUGCAAACCAUAGCAAGUGCCAAGUGGUUUAGAAUUGUCUCAACAAUAUUAUAGUGGUCAUAGUGUAUUAGUGUUGUUCUAUCACCCAAGACAAUACUCCCUCUGUCCCAUUUUAACUGAUGUUUGACUUUUUGACACGUAUAUUGAGGUGUAAAAAAAUAGUAUCUACGCUCAAUAAAAAGAUUUAAUUCUUAUAUCAAAUAAAAGUUUAGAUUCUAAACUUUUAUUUGAUAUAAAUUUUAUAAACAAUAAUUAUGUUUAGAUGUGAUUUUUUUAACACCUUAAAACAAGCCAUGCCAACCUUUGUGCUCAUAAAAGAAGGGCAAAUUCUGGACAGGGUUGAUGGUGCAAAGAAAGAUGAGUUGCAGAUCACCAUCAUCAAGCAUGCUGGUGCUUGGGUUGGAACGAGUUGUAAACUUGGAAGUAACUUUCAUUUAGCCAUGGAUUACACUAGUUUCCUAGUGGCGUAGGGAGUAAUGCGUUUCUGUGCUUGUGAGUGUGUGUCUGA
This 1983-nucleotide long non-coding RNA is filed under the name Daucus carota (carrot). Its description in RNAcentral is "long non-coding RNA (DCAR_LNC003723)". Lineage: Eukaryota; Viridiplantae; Streptophyta; Magnoliopsida; Apiales; Apiaceae. The record is from RNAcentral.